GUGCUCGCUUAGGCAGCACAUAUACUAAAAUUGGAACGAUACAGAGAAGAUUAGCAUGGCCCCUGCACAAGGAUGACACGCAAAUUCAUGAAGCAUUCCAUAUUUUU
This is a small nuclear RNA of Camelus dromedarius (Arabian camel), 107 nucleotides long. NCBI's taxonomy places the organism in Eukaryota, Metazoa, Chordata, Mammalia, Artiodactyla, Camelidae. The record is from Ensembl.